Molecule: ribosomal RNA, 265 nt
Filed under: uncultured bacterium
Lineage: Bacteria
Description: partial 16S ribosomal RNA
Rfam family: Bacterial small subunit ribosomal RNA
Source: RNAcentral
CGUUAGCGGCGGACGGGUGAGUAACGCGUGGACAACCUGCCCUAUGCAGGGGGAGUAACAUCCGGAAACGGGUGCUAAUACCGCAUAAGCGCACAGUACCGCAUGGUACAGUGUGAAAAGCUGAGGCGGCAUAGGAUGGGUCCGCGUUGGAUUAGGCAGUUGGCGGGGUAACGGCCCACCAAACCGACGAUCCAUAGCCGGCCUGAGAGGGUGGACGGCCACAUUGGGACUGAGACACGGCCCAGACUCCUACGGAAGGCAGCAG